RNAcentral lists this ribosomal RNA (221 nucleotides) under uncultured bacterium. Its description in RNAcentral is "partial 16S ribosomal RNA". It matches the Rfam family "Bacterial small subunit ribosomal RNA", at positions 526 to 746 of the family's 1533-position model. The record is from RNAcentral.
CGUAGGGCGCAAGCGUUAUCCGGAAUUAUUGGGCGUAAAGAGCUCGUAGGCGGUUUGUCGCGUCUGCCGUGAAAGUCCGGGGCUCAACUCCGGAUCUGCGGUGGGUACGGGCAGACUAGGGUGAUGUAGGGGAGACUGGAAUUCCUGGUGUAGCGGUGAAAUGCGCAGAUAUCAGGAGGAACACCGAUGGCGAAGGCAGGUCUCUGGGCAUUAACUGACGC